RNAcentral lists this ribosomal RNA (253 nucleotides) under uncultured bacterium. Its description in RNAcentral is "partial 16S ribosomal RNA". It matches the Rfam family "Bacterial small subunit ribosomal RNA", at positions 524 to 776 of the family's 1533-position model. The record is from RNAcentral.
UACAGAGGGUGCGAGCGUUGUUCGGAAUUAAUGGGCGUAAAGCGCGUGUAGGCGGUUCAUUAAGUCAGAUGUGAAAUCCCGGGGCCUAACUCCGGAAGUGCAUUUGAAACUGAUGAGCUGGAGUGAUGUAGAGGAUGGCGGAAUACCCAGUGUAGUGGUGAAAUACGUAGAGAUUGGGUAGAACACCGGUGGCGAAGGCGGCCGGCUGGGGGCGCCCUGACGCUGAGGCGCGAGAGCGUGGGGAGCAAACCGG